RNAcentral lists this long non-coding RNA (419 nucleotides) under Lathyrus oleraceus (garden pea). RNAcentral describes it as "Pisum sativum (pea) long non-coding RNA (PSAT_LNC038044)". Lineage: Eukaryota; Viridiplantae; Streptophyta; Magnoliopsida; Fabales; Fabaceae. The record is from RNAcentral.
GUAUAGAGUGGAAGUAUGGCGAGAGACUGUUUCUUUUUUUCUUUCUUUUUGCGUUUUAGUUAUGACUCUGAUAUGUAACACUAGAAAACGUUUGCAAGUUUUGUCUAAUUUUUCGUUAGAGAGUUGAUGUAUACUCUCAUGUUUGAUUUUUCGAUGUUUUGAGGAGAUUCCAUUUAUGUGUUUAUUUAUGCCAUAAAGUGAAUUUUAAGUUUAAAUGAUUCAGUUAAUGCUUGCUUUAUUAUGAGAAAUUUCGUUGUAAUGAUACACUAAGUGAAGGUGAGCAUGCAAUGACAUCCUAAGUGAAGGUGUUGAUUGUUGUUUUUAUUUGCCUUUAUUUAAAUUAAAAUGCAAUAAGAUGAAAUUUCGAAAUAAUAAAAGUUACCAAUUACUCAUAAAUGAUGCAAAUUCCGAUUAUGCAC